This 818-nucleotide unclassified non-coding RNA is filed under the name Hevea brasiliensis (rubber tree). Lineage: Eukaryota; Viridiplantae; Streptophyta; Magnoliopsida; Malpighiales; Euphorbiaceae. The record is from RNAcentral.
AAACUGUAACCCCCACUGUGAUGCAGUUCACUGCCACUUAAAUGGAGAUCAUAACAAAACCUUUGCCAAAUGGUACAUUGUUGAAGUCUCAAUACUUUACAAAGGAACACACGAGGUGCAGAUUCUGCUAACCACCCAUCAUCUCACCGUUCGAAGCCCCUCAGGCAGAAAAUAUCAGCAUUCCUUUUUGAAGGAAAAAAAAGCUGGAGAUGGUCUUCCUACAGAAUCAGUAGACAAGCUGGGGCUCGAAUUCAGCGAAAUCAACAGAGCCAGACUCGAUUGGGGGCAUGAGGUACGCAGCAAUGAUCUCAGACACCAGAGCGGCAACGUGAGGAAUCCUCUUCAGGUUCUUCACCAGGGGGAUAUCGUCAGACUCGCCUAUGGCAAUGAUCUUUUUGUUGAUCUCCACCAUCCUGUCUAACUUCCUCUUGAAUUCAGGGUUCUCGACGUCAAGAACAGCGGGGAAAAUCCUUGCUGUUGUGCGGUUGGUCUCAAUUAUCACAUGCAUGUCGAAUUCUUUGGUGUCCAGACCAAUCCCUUCAUAGAAUGUAGUACGUUGGCAAUCAUUUAGGUACAUGGUCACAUACACCGAGAGGCAGAAGAACCGUGACCAGAGCUUGGCCUUCCAGUCGUUGAGGAACUGCGGCUGCGCCUUGAGCAGCGCGGAGAAGAAAUCACCGUGACGGUUCUCAUCCUGGCACCAGUUCUCAAAGUACUUGAAGAUGGGAUAGCAUUGGUACUCUGGAUUCGCCUUCAGAUGCCUGUAUAUGGUUAUGUACCUCCAGUAUCCAAUUUUCUCACUUAGAUAUGUUGCAUAG